This 473-nucleotide ribosomal RNA is filed under the name uncultured organism. Its description in RNAcentral is "partial 16S ribosomal RNA". It matches the Rfam family "Bacterial small subunit ribosomal RNA", at positions 335 to 799 of the family's 1533-position model. The record is from RNAcentral.
ACUCCUACGGGAGGCAGCAGUGGGGAAUAUUGCACAAUGGGCGCAAGCCUGAUGCAGCCAUGCCGCGUGUAUGAAGAAGGCCUUCGGGUUGUAAAGUACUUUCAGCGUGGAGGAAGGCGAUAAGGUUAAUAACCUUGUUGAUUGACGUUACCCGCAGAAGAAGCACCGGCUAACUCCGUGCCAGCAGCCGCGGUAAUACGGAGGGUGCAAGCGUUAAUCGGAAUUACUGGGCGUAAAGCGCACGCAGGCGGUCUGUCAAGUCGGAUGUGAAAUCCCCGGGCUCAACCUGGGAACUGCAUUCGAAACUGGCAGGCUAGAGUCUUGUAGAGGGGGGUAGAAUUCCAGGUGUAGCGGUGAAAUGCGUAGAGAUCUGGAGGAAUACCGGUGGCGAAGGCGGCCCCCUGGACAAAGACUGACGCUCAGGUGCGAAAGCGUGGGGAGCAAACAGGAUUAGAAACCCCGGUAGUCCCAUG